CGCGUAGGCGGUUCGUUAAGUUAGAUGUGAAAACUCUGGGCUCAACCCAGAGCCUGCAUCUAAUACUGACGGGCUAGAGUUCUGGAGGGGGUAGCGGAAUUCCUGGUGUAGCGGUGAAAUGCGUAGAUAUCAGGAGGAACACCGGUGGCGAAGGCGGCUACCUGGACAGAAACUGACGCUGAGGCGCGAAAGCUAGGGGAGCAAACA
This 207-nucleotide ribosomal RNA is filed under the name uncultured bacterium. RNAcentral's name for it is "partial 16S ribosomal RNA". It matches the Rfam family "Bacterial small subunit ribosomal RNA", at positions 568 to 774 of the family's 1533-position model. The record is from RNAcentral.